RNAcentral lists this long non-coding RNA (2690 nucleotides) under Marmota monax (woodchuck). The record is from RNAcentral. Lineage: Eukaryota; Metazoa; Chordata; Mammalia; Rodentia; Sciuridae.
GGACAGGGCCGGGGACAGCCAGGCCCGGGGGCUCCCGGGACCCUCUCUUGGGCUCUCCCCGCUCCAGGCCCAGGAGGCUGCCCUCUCGUCCCUCCGGGGCCUGGCCCAGCCACUGGCUUUAAACACAGUCCCACGUCCUGGGGCCAUCGGCCAUCACUGGGGGCCCUGCACCCUGGGAGCCCCACAGAGCCCCGCCCUGCGUCUGGCUGGACCCACGUCAGGGAGCCAGGGGCUCUGAGACUUGCCCAAGCAGGUCCCCUCCCACCGCCCAUGUCCUUUGUCACCUCUGUUGCCCCACGUCCCUGUGAGGGUCACUGUGAGCCCCUCGGCUCUCUGAGGAAGGGACAGACCAGGAGGGGCCCAGCCCAGACUUGAGAGGAGCCCACCCGGGCCCUCAGCUCUAGCCGGGGCAGGAGGCCCGUCUGCGAGUCCCGGUUGGUAUGGAGGCCAGGCCUCUCCACAGGUCUCCGGCUCCUUCCCAGAGGCUGACCCUGUGGCCAGGCCCGCGGGUUGCCUUGGGCUGUGCUGACAUCACCCCUCCUGGGCCUCCAGUGGUAAAGGACGGGACAGGCUGGCAGCUGGAGACAUGGCCCCAGGGGCUGCCCCAGGCAAAAAAGAGCCUGAUCCGGGCUGGGGCCUCCGGGUGGCCCACUGAGAGUCUGCAGGCUGAGAAGCGUUCAGAGGAAGGCUCAUUUAUUGUGCUGUCAGUGUGAGCCCGGGACCUGGCAGCCAGGCAUCUGAGAGGGGAGGGAGGUGGCUUUCCCUGGGCCCAUCCUCCUUACUCUAACGCCUGUGGCCUUUUGUGAUCUGGCCCAGAACACGUGUCCUUCUGCAUGAAAAUCCCGCCUUUACUCAGAGGACCUUCCGGACUCAUCCAGGAGGCACUGCUGAAUGCUGUGGGCGGCGGUGCCAGGCCCAGGGUCAGACUGACCACCAGGGCUGGGUACAUGGGCUAAUUAGAGGGGGACAAGGAUGUGGGAUGGUAUCGGACUAAAACACUUCUUCACACAAAGGAAACGUUCACGUGAAGACCGAGGCUCCGGCGUGGGAGUCUUUACCACCUGUACCUCAGGUAGAGCACUGAUCUCUCGGGGUAUGUAAAGAACCCCAGGAACUUAACUCCGACCCCCCCACAAAUAACCCAAUCAAUACACGGGCUGAGGGACCCAACAGGCGCUUCACAGAGGGAGGAACACCAUCGAUCCACAAAUACGUGAAGAACGUCCAGCAUCUCUGGGGAUUACAGAACAGCAAAUUAAAACCACACUGAGUGCGUUCCACUCCAGUCGGGAUGGCUGCUGGGCACCGUGGCUCACGCCUGUAAUCCCAGAGGCUCCGGGGGAGGCGGGGGCUGAGGCAGGAGGAUCACAAGUUCAAAGCCAGGUUCAGCAACUUAGAGAGACAUUGAUUCUGAAUUUAAAAAACAAGGGGGGCAGGCUGGGGUGUGGUUCAGUGGUCAAGCACCCAGGGCUCAAUUCGCAGUACCUCCCCCCAAAAAGACAAGUGACAGUGACCCCCCAAAAAGACAAGUGACAGUGAAUGUUGGGAGGGCGCGGGGAAAGGUUCACUCACACUUUACCGAUGGACUGUGACUGGUGCGGCCACUGUGGAAAGCAGAGUGGAGAAUCCUCCUUGGAAUGGACCACCAUUUGGCGAGUCAUCCCACCUUGGCAGACACCCAAAGGACUUGAAGUCACCCUACCACAGUGACACAGCCACACAAUGUUUAUAGCAGCUCAAUUCACAACAGCAAAGCUUUGGAACCAGCCUAAGUGCCCUUUAACAGAUGAACAGAAAAAGGAAAUGUGGUACACGUACACAGUGGAAUAUUAUUCAGCCACAAAGAAGAAUGGAGUUAGAGCAUCUGCCCGUCAGUGGAUGGAACUGGAGACUCUCCCGCUAAGUGAAAUACGCCAGGCCCAUGAAACCAAAGCCCCAGGUUCUCUCCAACACAGAUGCUGACUCACAGCAGCGGGGGGAGGGAGGGGAACAGGAAGGACAGUGGAGGAUGGACAUCACUUUCCUGUGUUCCCGUGGGGAUGCACCGCCAGGGUGACUCCACGUCAUGCUCGACCACCAGAAAGGGCUCCUGACUGAGGGGUGGCCCUCCCUGUCUGUACAAUAUGCCCAAGUCCACUCCACGGUCACCGUUACCCAAAGAGAACCAAGUGGGGGGGAGAGUGGACGGCGAGGUCAGCAGUAACCAGAGGAACGCCCCCCCCCCCCCAGGCAGGGCGGGCAGCAGGCGGCUUUGCUGGACUCGGAGGACCAGGGGCCCACAGGCUGCAGCCGUGGGGGCCCGCCCUGGCCAGCCCCGCCCAGCAGAGGACACCGGCCUUUCCCUCCCUCCCCAGGCUCCCCCCGGCUCUCCCGAGGCCCAGUCCAGCAGGAGCCACCCUGGGGAGCUGUCUCUGAGCCCUGGUUUCCUGUCUGUUAAGCCGCCACCGCGGGCCUGGCAGGUGUGUGCUGAGGCUUAGGGGACAGCAGGGGACUGUUCCCAGUGUGUCCUGGCUGGGACCUGGCCCUCGUCAGCCAGGGUUGACCCGCAGCCCUUGGUGGUCACUCCUGGGUCCUGUGGUGGUCACUCUGGCCCUGAGCCCUGGAGAUGGGCUGGAGCCUGGCCUCUAGGUGUCCCCGGGGGCGGAGCUGUGGCCGCAGCCGGCCCAGCUACAGCCAGGAGAGGACAGCGG